RNAcentral lists this ribosomal RNA (425 nucleotides) under uncultured bacterium. RNAcentral describes it as "partial 16S ribosomal RNA". It matches the Rfam family "Bacterial small subunit ribosomal RNA", at positions 354 to 796 of the family's 1533-position model. The record is from RNAcentral.
GUGGGGAAUCUUGCGCAAUGGGCGAAAGCCUGACGCAGCCAUGCCGCGUGAAUGAUGAAGGUCUUAGGAUUGUAAAAUUCUUUCACCGGGGACGAUAAUGACGGUACCCGGAGAAGAAGCUCCGGCUAACUUCGUGCCAGCAGCCGCGGUAAUACGAAGGGGGCUAGCGUUGCUCGGAAUUACUGGGCGUAAAGGGCGCGUAGGCGGACAGCUUAGUCAGAGGUGAAAGCCCAGGGCUCAACCUUGGAAUUGCCUUUGAUACUGGCUGUCUUGAGUUUGGGAGAGGUGAGGGGAACUCCGAGUGUAGAGGUGAAAUUCGUAGAUAUUCGGAAGAACACCAGUGGCGAAGGCGACUCACUGGCCCAAUACUGACGCUGAGGCGCGAAAGCGUGGGGAGCAAACAGGAUUAGAAACCCGUGUAGUCC